Molecule: transfer RNA, 73 nt
Filed under: Danio rerio (zebrafish)
Lineage: Eukaryota; Metazoa; Chordata; Actinopteri; Cypriniformes; Danionidae
Rfam family: tRNA
About the family: Transfer RNA (tRNA) molecules are approximately 80 nucleotides in length. Their secondary structure includes four short double-helical elements and three loops (D, anti-codon, and T loops). Further hydrogen bonds mediate the characteristic L-shaped molecular structure. tRNAs have two regions of fundamental functional importance: the anti-codon, which is responsible for specific mRNA codon recognition, and the 3' end, to which the tRNAs corresponding amino acid is attached (by aminoacyl-tRNA synthetases). tRNAs cope with the degeneracy of the genetic code in two manners: having more than one tRNA (with a specific anti-codon) for a particular amino acid; and 'wobble' base-pairing, i.e. permitting non-standard base-pairing at the 3rd anti-codon position.
Source: Rfam by way of RNAcentral
GCUCGGCUAGUUCAGUCAGUAGAGCAUGAAACCCUUAAUCUCAGGGUCGUGGGUUCGAGCCACACGUUGGGUG